UAUUAAAACUUUUCAAAAAUAGUAUAGACAAGGGGAAUCUGACUAUUUAAUUUAAACAAAGCAUUGUGGUGGUCCCUACGGAUGCUGACACAAUGGGAUUUAUACCCAGUGCUCUGCAUGUGAAAGUGAAGAAAUGCAACCAAGCGCGGGUAAACGAAGGGAUUAACCAUGACCCUCUUAAGGUAGUCAUAUGCCUAGUCAUCUAAUUAGUGACAUGCGUGAAUAGAUUAAAAAUAUUCCCACUGUCCCUAGCUACUAUCUAUAUAAACCACAACCAAUAGAUAUUGU
Molecule: non-coding RNA, 288 nt
Organism: Picea glauca (white spruce)
Lineage: Eukaryota; Viridiplantae; Streptophyta; Pinopsida; Pinales; Pinaceae
Source: Rfam